Molecule: long non-coding RNA, 965 nt
Organism: Alexandromys fortis (reed vole)
Lineage: Eukaryota; Metazoa; Chordata; Mammalia; Rodentia; Cricetidae
Exons: 3
Source: RefSeq, a predicted model, not a curated record
GCUGGGAAACUUGUCUUUCCCUCUCUGUUAUGAGAUGUUUUGGAGGCAGGAGGCGUAGUUCCCGUUAGCUGGUUUGUAUGUGGUUGCUAUUUAUAGAAAUAACUAUACAAAGAACAAAGGAAGGAAGAGAGCGAAAGGAGGGAGGAGAGAAAAGUUACUUUGAAGACUUGACUACUCGUUUAGGCACGGCCCCUCCGGGAUUCCUGGUGGAAAACAGAAAUUCGUGGGACACUCUGGCUGGGAACCACCCUUGACGCUCAUUGUCUCCUCCCUCUGCAGCACCUCCACUGAGCCUGCGCUAACUGGGUGCCUCAUAGGCUGAUGACCAAAGUCCAUGACCACCAGGCCUUUCUCAAGCCAGGGUUACUGUAGUGUAUGCGAUGCCUCUUAGAUUGCUAUUGAUCAAGAUGGCGGCCUUCCUUCCUGACUUCUGGGUCCUGCUCGUCUGUAAAUCUCUACUUCAGAUGUCGUGAUUUGGCACAUACCACAGGGGGUUGGGUGAUGACACUCCAGAGAGUUUGCCAUAAAAUCUUGAUGGAAACAUGAACAGCCAAGUAGCAGGACUGUCUGUACUGCAACCUAGAUCCCCUGCGCUGAGCUCACGCACAUCUGCCAGCCUUCUGUGUCACCUCGUAUGGCUAGAACGCACUUGCCAAAUCAGUGACCACUAAAAUGGAUUUGCUGCUAUGUUCAUCUCCUCUGGUAAAGAUGCCAGACUAGGUGUGGUGACUGCUGGACAACUACCGCUUGAAUGGGUUUGGCUGCUCUGCUAUCAGUCAUUAUCCUCCAGGUUCAGUUUGGUUUCUUCAGGGACAACACUGCUGAUGGAAAUGUGAAAUGACCCAUAAAGGUUACAUUCUGAUGUUUGUUUUAUGGCAUAUCGUCAAGGAGAUCUUUCGUUUUAUAUGUGGGUCUUGAUUGACUAUUAACAAUCCCUAGUCUCCUGUAACAUUUUUAUAGAACAG